GCAAACAUGACUUCUGCAGAGGGGCAUGCUACUGAACAAAGUCUGGCAAAUAAUUAAAGUGACAGAAAAAACUUCUAUAAGAGAAAAGGCAGCAAAGUGAGAAAGAACAGGCAACACACACGUGCAGAUUUACUUCCCUGUGCUAGACAGAGCCCAAGUCAGUGACACUCGGCACAUGGAGGAGGAGCAGCCCUCUCAGCCCCAAGGAAGUUCAGAGGCAGAGCAACCUGGAAGAUGCAGGGGUCACCUCAAUUUCAGCCUGUUUCAGGAACUGGAAAGUUACAGGUUUGCUGCCAGCCUUAGGGAGGGGCCAGGCACUGAAUGGAAAGUGGACUGGAGACCCAUCUUCCUGCAGAGUGUGAACAGCAAGACUACCCUUCUGCCCAUCCUAGGCCAUGUUCCCUGUCCUUGAGCACACACACCAGACAUCCUCAGGGAUGGUGCCAGAAGAACUGAGAAACAGCCAUCUACCAAGUCUACGAGUGAAUUAUGGCCCCCAACAGGGCACAACUGGAAUGUGUGUGUGUCUUCCUGAACCACCUCUUUAAAAGUCCGCCAUCCCCCCAGCGGGCAGAAUCACAGCCUCUGGAACUAUAGUCC
This is a long non-coding RNA of Marmota flaviventris (yellow-bellied marmot), 600 nucleotides long. RefSeq lists it as uncharacterized. The record is from RefSeq and is a predicted model, not a curated record. Lineage: Eukaryota; Metazoa; Chordata; Mammalia; Rodentia; Sciuridae.